Molecule: ribosomal RNA, 468 nt
Filed under: uncultured bacterium
Lineage: Bacteria
Description: partial 16S ribosomal RNA
Rfam family: Bacterial small subunit ribosomal RNA
Source: RNAcentral
GACGAACGCUGGCGGCGUGCUUAACACAUGCAAGUCGAACGGAAAGGCCCUGCUUUUGUGGGGUGCUCGAGUGGCGAACGGGUGAGUAACACGUGAGUAACCUGCCCUUGACUUUGGGAUAACUUCAGGAAACUGGGGCUAAUACCGGAUAGGAGCUCCUUCUGCAUGGUGGGGGUUGGAAAGUUUCGGCGGUUGGGGAUGGACUCGCGGCUUAUCAGCUUGUUGGUGGGGUAGUGGCUUACCAAGGCUUUGACGGGUAGCCGGCCUGAGAGGGUGGCCGGCCACAUUGGGACUGAGAUACGGCCCAGACUCCUACGGGAGGCAGCAGUGGGGAAUAUUGCACAAUGGGCGGAAGCCUUAUGCAGCAACGCCGCGUGCGGGAUGACGGCCUUCGGGUUGUAAACCGCUUUCGCCUGUGACGAAGCGUGAGUGACGGUAAUGGGUAAAGAAGCACCGGCUAACUACGUG